GACAGAGGAUGCAAGCGUUAUCCGGAAUGAUUGGGCGUAAAGCGUCUGUAGGUGGCUUUUUAAGUCCGCCGUCAAAUCCCAGGCUCAACCCUGGACAGGCGGUGGAAACUACCAAGCUGGAGUACGGUAGGGGCAGAGGGAAUUCCGGUGGAGCGUGAAAUGCGUAGAGAUCGGAAGAACACCAACGGCGAAAGCACUCUGCUGGCCGACACUGACACGAGAGACGAAAGCUAGGGAGCGAAUGG
This 245-nucleotide ribosomal RNA is filed under the name uncultured bacterium. Its description in RNAcentral is "partial 16S ribosomal RNA". It matches the Rfam family "Bacterial small subunit ribosomal RNA", at positions 524 to 775 of the family's 1533-position model. The record is from RNAcentral.